Gallus gallus (chicken) is the source of this 2563-nucleotide long non-coding RNA. The record is from Ensembl. NCBI's taxonomy places the organism in Eukaryota, Metazoa, Chordata, Aves, Galliformes, Phasianidae.
CUUUUUGGUUGGGUUUUGGUUUUUGCUCGCAUCCUCCCCUAACAAUAAUGGGAUGGAGCAGCAGAGCUGCAGCCGCGGAUGGGAGGAGGAGGAGGAGGAGGACGCGAGCGUUCGGCACUGCAGAAGAGGCGGCAGGUUUACAGCAAGGAGCCGGAGCUGCCUCUCCCCAGCCCCCCGGUCCUAGCACCCUAUCCCCAUCUCCCAGCUCGAGCCCCCGGUGGGGGAGAAUAGGGGAACAAGGCGCAUCCCUCCUGCCUCCCAGCUCUGGGACGGUGCCCCGGCGCCAGGGGGGUAGGAUUGACACAGAGCCGGCCCCCACCGUUGGGGAGCCCCUCUCAACCGCCAUCCCACCACGGGUAGGCAGCCCGACAGCCUGUUGCUGUUCAAAGGGGAGCGAAAAGCCAGGAGAGGGCGACGAGGGACGGGGGAGAGGGUGAGCUGGAGUAAAAAAGGGGACCCGCUCUGUCGGAUGGGGCUCUCCUCGUUGCUCCUCUCCGAGAAGAGCAAGGAACCCCCGACAGCAGUCGAAGCUCCUCUCACUUCAAGUAACAAAAGGGCAUCCCCCCCUGCCCCGUUCUCUCCGGCGGGGUGGGGCAAAGCUUCCUUGGAGCGGGGCCGCCGUCGGGGCAAGGAGCACAGCUCCACAUCUCCCACCCUCUGUCUCGCGGGGAGGGCGUCCGGGGGAAACCCGAUGCUGGAGCGCCCGAAAUAAAGUGCUGGGAAGGGAGAGCCGCGAAAUACCCAGGGUGAUCUGACAUGCCCCAGCUUCUCCAACGGAGCACUCGUGGCGAAACCAACGGGGAGACGCGGCAGAGCCGAGCAGGGCCGGUGGGGAGGCAGCACGCUGAGGGCAUGGCAGGGCGCUGCCCACCUACCCCGCCCCGACGGCAGGAGAAGUGAUCCUCCCUCAAGCGCAGCCCCGUGCGGGGGUCUCCAGCCCGGCCUGCGGCACCACCAGGGCUGCGCGGCCGCUAUUUUUAGACGAGCCGAAUUCUUUCCCCUUCACCCUCCCUUCGCUCCAACACAGCGCCGCGGACAGCUGAGAGCAGAUCGGCUUACGGCGGGGCCGGCCCUACCCCUAUCCCUACCCCUACCCCCAGCACAGCACGUGGGGAAAGCAGUGCUGAGCCCCACAGCUCCGACCUCACCUCCUGCAGGUGGUGCUGGGCCAGGUGUGACGGCAGAGCCAGGGUGUGAACACGGAAAUCAGGGCUGCGGGAGCUGAGGCCGAAGAGGCAGGAGCAAAGCUGCUGCUUUUAUGCUUACGCUGAUUACUUUUCCCUAAGAAAUAAACAAAGCACAAAACGGAGCCCUUUGGGCAGCACACCUCCAGCUCUCCACGUCUGCAGCAGCACAACCUCUGCUCUGUUUCUGGAUCCAAGGAGUUGCCCUGGCUGGGUUGGCUCUGCUUUGCAGAUUGUAAUGGAGUCAUCUCCGCUGAGUGGCAAGAAGCCAGCGGUGCAGCACCACCAGUGGAAGCACAGUCCCUUUUAAGGUGCCUGAACUCUCCUACCCAGAGGGAUGACACGAUUGCCCCAAGCACAGCAUGGACUCUCAGCUCCAAGUGUGAAGUGAAACACGAGGCUUUCACAGCAGAGGGAUGCAGCAGCAGGUCAUGUUUGGGCUCUCCGAGUGCUCCCAGCUCAGAGCUGCUCUCUGGAAGCAGCGUAGCAGAGCUGUGCCACGCAGAGCUGUGCUGAGCUUUUAUCCCCCAGAAGUUGGGGAUCGUUUACAGUCUGAAUCUGUACAUCCUGAGGGCCUUUGUACAACAUCACCAUUUUAAUGUCCAAUAACGGAAUGAUUUGCCCAUAAAACCCAUCCUCAAGGCACACAGAUGCUUUUCCUGCUCUGGUAAAAUGCCUUUAGAGACAUCUGUCCCUGAGGGAUCCUGGACCUCACAAAGCUGUGGUAGGGGUGUUUGUUCCUAUGGCUCUCUGCCUUAUUCUUAAGUAGGAUUUUUCUCUUUUCUGAAGGCUCUGGGUUGUAGGAGGUCCAGAUUCUGCUGCUUUCAAUAGUGGGAAUUUUACUUCAUGCCUUCAAAGCAGUCCAGCAAGAUUAAAUUACCUUUGUUAUGAUGGUUUCUGGUACGUUCCCAGUUAAAUGCAAAGUAAAACUCUCCCUGCAUUCAGGUAGAGCAGGAUUAGGCCUUAAAAUUAAGAUUCCAGGCAUGAUAGAGUCUCAGAAAUACAAGUACUUCAUUUCAAAUGACGUUUUUAAUUUAUACUGGCACCCAGAGCCAUUUAUUGCUUUCUAUAAAAGAAGUAAAUGAUUAAGUGGGCACGUCUGAAGUUUUGUUGCCACUUCAUGGUAACGGUGUCUGUAAAGUGGGCCCAAAUAAAUCUAUUGCACGUUCCCACUGCCUGGCCUGCUGUUAUUGCAACUGGAAUUCAAGGGCAAAGUUCCUCAUUGCCAGCUGUGUGUUUUAACCAAAAGAACCAACAGGAUUUAUAGACAAGAGAAAUACCAAACAUUGGGUCAAUGUAGCCUAUUGUCUAGCAGGCACAUCCCUGUUCUAAUGGAUGCCUAUUGGUUCCUGUCUUAUUUUCACCACUCCUAUUCCUAU